RNAcentral lists this ribosomal RNA (499 nucleotides) under uncultured bacterium. RNAcentral's name for it is "partial 16S ribosomal RNA". It matches the Rfam family "Bacterial small subunit ribosomal RNA", at positions 28 to 507 of the family's 1533-position model. The record is from RNAcentral.
GACGAACGCUGGCGGCGUGCCUAAUACAUGCAAGUCGAGCGAAGUUUUUCUGGUGCUUGCACUAGAAAAACUUAGCGGCGCACGGGUGAGUAACACGUAAAGAACCUGCCUCAUAGACUGGGACUACUAUUGGAAACGAUAGCUAAUACCGGAUAACAGUAUUUCUCGCAUGAGCGAUGUUUAAAAGUUGGUUAUGCUAACACUAUGAGAUGGCUUUGCGGUGCAUUGGCUAGUUGGUGGGGUAAAGGCCCACCAAGGCGACGAUGCUUAGCCGACCUGAGAGGGUGAUCGGCCACCCUGGCACUGAGACACGGCCCAGACUCCUACGGGAGGCAGCAGUAGGGAAUCUUCCGCAAUGGGCGAAAGCCUGACGGAGCAACGCCGCGUGAGUGAUGAAGGAUUUCGGUUCGUAAAGCUCUGUUGUUAGGGAAGAAUGGAUAUGUAGUAACUAUACAUGUAAGAGACGGUACCUAACCAGAAAGCCACGGCUAACUACGUG